RNAcentral lists this ribosomal RNA (257 nucleotides) under uncultured bacterium. Its description in RNAcentral is "partial 16S ribosomal RNA". It matches the Rfam family "Bacterial small subunit ribosomal RNA", at positions 524 to 776 of the family's 1533-position model. The record is from RNAcentral.
UACGGAGGGAGCUAGCGUUGUUCGGAAUUACUGGGCGUAAAGCGCGCGUAGGCGGCUUUGUAAGUUAGAGGUGAAAUCCCCGGGCUCAACCUGGGAACUGCAUUUGUGACUGCAUCGCUGGAGUACGGCAGAGGGGGGAUGGAAUUCCGCGUGUAGCAGUGAAAUGCGUAGAUAUGCGGAGGAACACCGAUGGCGAAGGCAAUCCCCCUGGGCCUGUACUGACGCUGAGGAGCGAAAGCGUGGGGGAGCGAAACAGG